AAGAAUCGGUGCGCACAAAAUAGUUGGGCAAUGAUGAGAAAUGUAAGCAUCUCUAUCACCCAUGAACACUCACAGCCGGUACACUCAGCGGAUGACCUCGAGAAACGCAUUUACCCAGGUGUUGCCUAUUGUGACCACCCCACUCUCAUGUUCCGGUAAGUUAGUAUAGAACUUCGUAACCAUCUGGACAUUUUCCUCCUCCAGUUCAUCAAAGAAGAUGUUCAGAUGACAUCUCCUUAACUCAUUGAAGAUAUUUGGGCAUUUCGCUUGCAAGGCUUGUCUGUCAC
This 287-nucleotide long non-coding RNA is filed under the name Nicotiana benthamiana. Its description in RNAcentral is "long non-coding RNA (NBEN_LNC034303)". The record is from RNAcentral. Lineage: Eukaryota; Viridiplantae; Streptophyta; Magnoliopsida; Solanales; Solanaceae.